AAUUUUCGGCAAUGGGGGCAACCCUGACCGAGCGACGCCGCGUUAGUGAAGAAGGUCUUCGUUUUGUAAAGCUCUGUUGUAAGGGAAUAACCGUAACAGUAGGGAAUGACUGGUACCUGAUGGUACAUUACCAGCAAGCCACGGCUGACUACGUGCUAGCAGACCGGGUAACAAGUAGGGGGAAAGCGUUAUACGGAAAUAUUGGGCGUAAAGGGAGCGCAGGCGGCUUAUUAAGUCUGAGGUUAAAGUUCGGGGCUCAACCCCGUGAUGCCUUAGAAGCUGGUAGGCUAGAGUGCAGGAGAGGUGAGUGGAAUUCCAUGUGUAGAGGUAAAAUGCGUAGAUAUAUGGAGGAACACCAGUGGCGAAGGCGGCUCACUGGCCUGUAACUGACGCUGAAGCUCGAAAGCGUGGGGAGCAAAUA
Molecule: ribosomal RNA, 421 nt
Filed under: uncultured bacterium
Lineage: Bacteria
Description: partial 16S ribosomal RNA
Rfam family: Bacterial small subunit ribosomal RNA
Source: RNAcentral